Molecule: ribosomal RNA, 252 nt
Filed under: uncultured bacterium
Lineage: Bacteria
Description: partial 16S ribosomal RNA
Rfam family: Bacterial small subunit ribosomal RNA
Source: RNAcentral
UACGGGGGGGCAAGCGUUGUUCGGAAUUCCUGGGCGUAAAGGGCUCGUAGGCGGCCAACUAAGUCGGACGUGAAAUCCCCAGGCUCAACCUGGGAACUGCGUCCGAUACUGGAUGGCUUGAAUCCGGGAGAGGGAUGCAGAAUUCCAGGUGUAGCGGUGAAAUGCGUAGAUAUCUGGAGGAAUACCGGUGGCGAAGGCGGCAUCCUGGACCGGCAUUGACGCUGAGGAGCGAAAGCCAGGGGAGCAAACGGG